Molecule: ribosomal RNA, 1146 nt
Filed under: Triticum aestivum (bread wheat)
Lineage: Eukaryota; Viridiplantae; Streptophyta; Magnoliopsida; Poales; Poaceae
Description: partial small subunit ribosomal RNA
Source: RNAcentral
AUGCGUGCCGCCGUGGCGUUCCUCCUCGCCGCCGUCCUCUGCUUCGGCGGGGGCCGUGCGGCGUCCGCGUCGCCAGACUUCGACUACCCGGCGGCGUUCAACUUCGGGGACUCCAACUCCGACACGGGCGGCCGCAUCGCCGCGGGCUUCGAGCCCAUGCCCCCGCCCUACGGCUCCACCUUCUUCGGCGCCCCCUCCGGCCGCUUCUCCGACGGCCGCCUCAUCCUCGACUUCCUCAUGGAUGCAAUGGAUAUGCCAUUCCUCAAUGCAUACUUGGAUUCUCUUGGUGCGCCUAACUUCCGGGCAGGUGUUAAUUUUGCUCAAGCUGGCUGUUCGAUUACUCCAGCAAGUGCAACAUCUGUCAGCCCGUUUUCAUUUGGUCUUCAGAUUAAGCAAUUCUUUGCAUUCAAGGAAAAAGUCACCAGGCUGCUCUCUCAAGGAGAUAGGUACCGAAGGUAUAUUCCUCAGUUGGAUUACUUUUCGAAGGGACUCUACAUGUUUGAUAUAGGUCAAAAUGACCUUGCUGGUCAAUUCUACUCGAGAACAGAGGACCAAGUCAUUGCAUCCAUUCCGACUAUCUUGUUGGAAUUUGAAACUGGGCUCAAGACACUAUACGAUCAGGGUGCCAGGAAGUUCUGGAUUCACAACACAGGUCCUCUUGGCUGCUUACCUCAAAACAUAGCUCUUUUUGGCAAAGACCCAACACAACUGGAUGAACUUCAUUGUGUAGCAAAGCACAAUCGUGCUGCGAAGAUUUUCAACUUACAGCUGCAUGCACUUUGCACAAAGUUGAGAGGCCAGUUUGCUGGAGCUAAUAUCACUUACAUCGACAUCUACUCCAUCAAAUAUGCCCUGAUUGGCAAUUACUCUCGAUAUGGAUUUGAAAGUCCCACCCAAGCAUGCUGUGGAUACGGAGGGCCACCCCUGAACUAUGAUGGCAGAGUGCCGUGUGGACAGACGAAAUCUGUGAACGGUAAUCUCGUAACCGCGAAAGGAUGCAGUGACAGCACUGAGUAUGUCAAUUGGGAUGGAAUACAUUACACGGAAGCUGCAAAUUUCCACGUUACAUCGCAGAUUCUGACCGGGAAGUACUCAGAUCCUCCGUUCGUCGACAAGAUGCCAUUCCGUAUAAAACCGAGGUUCUAA